RNAcentral lists this long non-coding RNA (207 nucleotides) under Brachypodium distachyon (stiff brome). RNAcentral's name for it is "long non-coding RNA (BDIS_LNC002070)". Lineage: Eukaryota; Viridiplantae; Streptophyta; Magnoliopsida; Poales; Poaceae. The record is from RNAcentral.
CCAUGUGUUGUUUUCAAAUUCUCCCGCGAACUAUGUUAUCUAAAAGUAUAUUGCAAAAUUCGUUGGUUAUCGACCGUGACACAUAAACGCACCCGUUUAAAUUUAAUUUACAAUGGCAGAAAAAACAGAAAAAAGAAAAAAAACAGAAAACGCACGGGCAAGAAACUGGUACGAGGAAAAAGUCAAAUUGUUGGGAAAUUAAUCGAC